GUUACUGGUUCUGCAAUGUUCCGG
This 24-nucleotide small nuclear RNA is filed under the name Arabidopsis thaliana (thale cress). Its description in RNAcentral is "snRNA_07659". The record is from RNAcentral. Lineage: Eukaryota; Viridiplantae; Streptophyta; Magnoliopsida; Brassicales; Brassicaceae.